CCUACGGGAGGCAGCAGUGAGGAAUAUUAGUCAAUGGGCGGAAGCCUGAACCAGCCAAGUAGCGUGAGGGAUUAAGGCCCUGCGGGUCGUAAACCUCUUUUGCCGGGGAGCAGAGGUCCGGACGUGUCCGUGCCGGUAUAGUACCCGAAGAAAAAGCAUCCGCCAACUCCGUGCCAGCAGUCGCGGUAAUACGUAGGAUGCGAGCGUUAUCCGGAUUUAUUGGGUUAAAAGGGUGAGAAGGCGGAAGUGAAAUUCAGCGGGCAAAGUGCGGGGCUCAACCCAGUACUGCCGUGGAAACUGGAUCCCUUGAGUGCGCGAGAAGUAUGCGGAAUGCGUGGUGUAGCGGUGAAAUGCAGAGAUAUCACGCAGAACUCCGAUGGCGAAGGCAGCAUACCGGCGCGCAACUGACGCUCAUGCACGAAAGCGUGGGUAUCGAACAGGAUUAGAUACCCUGGUAGUC
This 460-nucleotide ribosomal RNA is filed under the name uncultured bacterium. RNAcentral describes it as "partial 16S ribosomal RNA". It matches the Rfam family "Bacterial small subunit ribosomal RNA", at positions 338 to 795 of the family's 1533-position model. The record is from RNAcentral.